UAAUUAAGAUAACAGAUGAAACGAUGUUAAUAAAAAGAACAAAAUAAUCAAAUUAUUUUUAUUCAUGUAUAAAAAAAUAUUUUUUUAAUAUAUUUUUAUCGUUUUGAAUGAUAUCUUCAAUAUAAAUUAUAAGAAAUUGAUAGAAUAGUGAUGAACUCCAGGACAGACUAAAUUCAAUAACUUGAAAUAUUGAGAGAGUAAAACGUAAUUUUUUAAAAGUUAGAAAGAAAAAUAAAAAAACGGAUAUGUAUGAUGAAAUUUUUAUAAUUUAGCCAAAAAUAAUAUGGU
Molecule: long non-coding RNA, 288 nt
Filed under: Ananas comosus (pineapple)
Lineage: Eukaryota; Viridiplantae; Streptophyta; Magnoliopsida; Poales; Bromeliaceae
Description: long non-coding RNA (ACOM_LNC011378)
Source: RNAcentral